Gasterosteus aculeatus aculeatus (three-spined stickleback) is the source of this 1004-nucleotide long non-coding RNA. Lineage: Eukaryota; Metazoa; Chordata; Actinopteri; Perciformes; Gasterosteidae. The record is from Ensembl.
GUCUCUGUUGUUGUUCUUCAGCUUCUCUUCCUGUCUUUCUGUAAUACAUUCAAAGACAGACACACUUGUCAAAGGGAAGAAAUGCUGAGAGAUUCAGUGAUGGUUUCCUUUUUCUUCUCAACUAAUGCAAAAGACAUGCAAAAACACCCAAAAGCGAAUGCAUUAAAAGUCUACAAUGGAGAAAUUACAGUAUGACGUUCACAUGACAUGGUGAAACCCUACAUCCCAACCCGCACUCUCCGCUCUGCAUUUGCAAAACUACUCGUCCCUCCCUCACUGAGAGCAAAAUGUCACCAGGGGGACAUUGUGGUUUCUGUAAAUUAUUGUAAACUACAUGCACCUGGAGGGACUAAUCAAUUACAGAGAGCCCUGGCCAACCACAUUACACAAUGAAAGGACCUCCCCUCUCCAAUUAACACAGCUGCUAUGAAGGACACUAAGCGCCACAGAAAGGAGAAGCCACGGGAAAUCAAGUGAGAGGGCGGCAAGACAUCGGAAGAGCAAGCAGGGUGCAACGAGGAGAGGAACGAAACGGACUGGACACCUCACCCAGGAAAGAAACGGAACCGGAAACAAGAAGAAAGGGCAAGACCGAUCAGCAGCAGUGGCUGGUCGAAUUCUUAAAUCCUUUUAGUACUUUGUUCCAGCUGGACUUUUAAUAUUGUAGUUAUUUAUGGGUUUUUAGUUAAUAAUAAAAUCCUCCUUUUAAACCACGCUUUUAAGUCUUGUGAUCCAUGCUGUUCUUCCUCUGGUGAACAAGUCCCCUGUUUUAUGGAGACCUAGACUCCGCAACUAGGUGGCGUUGCUGGUACCUUUUUUAUAAAUGUAUCUUAUUUUUGUUAGGUUUUAAGUCCCCCGCCUCACAGGGCUGACAAAAACACUCGACUAGAUCUCGACUCUUUGCUGUCCGGUGGAACGAGCUAUGUGAAGACACCAGGACCGCAGAGAUCCUUCACAUCUUCCGCCGCAAACUAAAGACACACCUCUUCAGACUCUACCUCGAC